UAUAGCCGCACAGCUAUACUUGAAAAAUAUUCGGCUAUACUGUUAAAAUAAAUUCGAAUAUUUUUCAAGUAUAGCUGUGCGGCGAUACG
RNAcentral lists this microRNA precursor (89 nucleotides) under Prunus dulcis (almond). RNAcentral describes it as "sRNA ncRNA". The record is from RNAcentral. Lineage: Eukaryota; Viridiplantae; Streptophyta; Magnoliopsida; Rosales; Rosaceae.